ACCAGACUCCUACGGGAGGCAGCAGUGGGGAAUAUUGCACAAUGGGGGAAACCCUGAUGCAGCAACGCCGCGUGAAGGAAGACGGUUUUCGGAUUGUAAACUUCUGUUCUUAGUGAAGAAGAAUGACGGUAGCUAAGGAGCAAGCCACGGCUAACUACGUGCCAGCAGCCGCGGUAAUACGGAGGAUGCGAGCGUUAUCCGGAUUUAUUGGGUUUAAAGGGUGCGUAGGCGGUCCGUUAAGUCAGCGGUAAAAUUGCGGGGCUCAACCCUGUCGAGCCGUUGAAACUGGCAGACUUGAGUUGGCGAGAAGUACGCGGAAUGCGCGGUGUAGCGGUGAAAUGCAUAGAUAUCGCGCAGAACUCCGAUUGCGAAGGCAGCGUACCGGCGCCAGACUGACGCUGAGGCACGAAAGCGUGGGGAUCGAACAGGAUUAGAUACCCUAGUA
This 445-nucleotide ribosomal RNA is filed under the name uncultured bacterium. Its description in RNAcentral is "partial 16S ribosomal RNA". It matches the Rfam family "Bacterial small subunit ribosomal RNA", at positions 330 to 792 of the family's 1533-position model. The record is from RNAcentral.